Molecule: long non-coding RNA, 888 nt
Filed under: Homo sapiens (human)
Lineage: Eukaryota; Metazoa; Chordata; Mammalia; Primates; Hominidae
Description: non-protein coding TMEM44-AS1:3
Source: RNAcentral
GGCGGAUGCAGCUCCGAGGAGGUAGGCAGUGGGAGCCGGCGUUCAGUCCGGCCCGUGCCAACAGUGGUUCCUCUCUCCCCCGUAGUUCGAGGAGACCACGCGCUGCCCCUCUGGCACGAUCGUGGAUGAACCCCCUGGCAACUGAAAUGGGAAAGGCAGCGCCCCCGACUCUGGGGACUGGACCGAAGUCCACGGUAGUGACAGCUGCCAGACCCUGAGGAGAGGACGAGAAGACCCGAGGCCUCUGCUACGAACACUGGCAGCCGAUGGAAAAUUCAGACGGAUUUGGGACAGUAUGCAGAGUUCUCCAAGCGACAGAUUAACAGAGGCUCUUGAAGAAUAACUGCGUAAUCACGUGUUCUGCUCAAAAGAAGGCCUGAAUGCCCAGUGCCUUAUUUGGCUUUCAGGGUAGAUGAUGGGCUCCACGGGAACAGAGCAAACGUUCGCUCCUGCUCCUACACGGUGUUUCCUCUAAACCUGAGGCUCAGCCGACUUGUCAUCACUUAAAACCCAAUUCAGAGCGGGGGGGCACUGCCAGUGAAUAGUUCAUCACCGACUCAGUUUCCCCAUGUGUAUGCUGUGGUAUUGGAUCAGCAACGAGAUAAGAAGAUCUCUCCCAUUUCCAAGCGUCUAUGAUGAUUCUGAGGCACAAGGUCACAUUUGACAGUACUAGGAAACCCAGGAAACAAGAAGCAAAGAUGACAAAGGCUGUGUCUGCCUGGGCAGACGAUCUAUUUGGACAAGAUAAUAGACCCAGGCAUGGACAUGCUCUCCAAGAAAGAUGCCCUGACAGCUGCUCACACUGAAGCUGAAUCGAACAUUCCAAUCCUUAGAGGUUCCAGCGAAGAUCUUGAAGUCUCCCUGAGCCAUUGACACAAUGGCCAUGCC